Meleagris gallopavo (turkey) is the source of this 503-nucleotide non-coding RNA. The record is from RefSeq and is a predicted model, not a curated record. NCBI's taxonomy places the organism in Eukaryota, Metazoa, Chordata, Aves, Galliformes, Phasianidae.
GGCAGACCUUGGGCUCAUUCAAGAGCUAGCCUCCAAAAGGUGAAUGUUUUCUGGAUGAGGGUUGUUUUUUGAGAAGUAGUCUUCUAUAGCUAGAGAGACUAUCACCAGUUGGGUGAGUUAAGAUUUUCAGUGUAUGCUUAUUGAUGUCUCCAAUAAUGUUUUCAAUGUAUUGCAAGGGUCUUAUUGGAGGCUAUCUGGGAGCAGUGUGAGCUUGAUUUGUGGAACAUGAAGAAAAAGCUACCUAUCUCUAGUCAGAACAGACAACAAAACCAAAAUGAAGCCUGGUAGAAGUCAUUGACUUGAAAAAGCUUUUAGUACGUUUUAGUGCAGUAAUUCCAGUGUGAAAAUUCCCCUGACACUGAGAUCCAUUUCAAAGAAGACGACAAAGAUACUAGUUUCAGAAAGUUCCCCUGAUUCUGGAGUAGAAUUGAUCAUUAAAAAGAAUACUGGAGGCAUAGAUUGCUUGACACCCUACAUGAGUGGCACAAUGGCUGUAGCUGUGG